UACCAAGAGUUUAAGUUAUGUGUUUAGGUUGAAAAGAUAGUUAGGUUGUAUUAGUUAAUAUAAUGAUUCUUUAUAAAAAAGUAAAAUUUGAAUAUAAAGAAUUAAUUUUAUUUAUAUUAAAAUGCUGAAUCUGUGAUAAUUAUGAGGGAAACUGGGAUUAGAUACCCCAUUAUUCAUUAUUUUAAAUAAAAAUUAUUUACCUGAGUACUAUGAAUUUAAAAUUUAAAACUUAAAGGGCUUGGCGGUGUUUUAGACCUAUUAGGGGAACCUGUCUCGUAAUCGACAAUCCACGAUAUACCUGGCCUUUUUUCGUAUUCAGUUUGUAUACCGUCGUCGUCAGGCAACUUUUAAAAAUAAAGAAGUUGGCAUAAAUAAUAAUUUAAAUUAAGACGUCAGAUCAAGGUGCAGCUUAUAAAAAGGAGAGGAUGGGUUACAAUUAUAAAAUAAUAAUUAUGGAUAGUUUAAUGUAAAAAGCUUAAAGGCGGACUUAAAAGUAAUUAUGUAAUAUACAAAUAUUUUGAAUUAGGCUCUGAAACGUGC
RNAcentral lists this ribosomal RNA (540 nucleotides) under Zafra hervieri. RNAcentral's name for it is "partial small subunit ribosomal RNA". Lineage: Eukaryota; Metazoa; Mollusca; Gastropoda; Neogastropoda; Columbellidae. The record is from RNAcentral.